Molecule: ribosomal RNA, 460 nt
Filed under: uncultured Rikenellaceae bacterium
Lineage: Bacteria; Pseudomonadati; Bacteroidota; Bacteroidia; Bacteroidales; Rikenellaceae
Description: bacterial SSU rRNA
Rfam family: Bacterial small subunit ribosomal RNA
Source: RNAcentral
CCUACGGGAGGCAGCAGUGGGGAAUAUUGGACAAUGGAUGGAAAUCUGAUCCAGCCAUGCCGCGUGCAGGAAGACGGCCCUAUGGGUUGUAAACUGCUUUUAUAUGGGAGCAAUAAGGUCUACGCGUAGACCGAUGAGAGUACCAUAUGAAUAAGCAUCGGCUAACUCCGUGCCAGCAGCCGCGGUAAUACGGAGGAUGCGAGCGUUAUCCGGAUUUAUUGGGUUUAAAGGGUGCGUAGGCGGCCUUAUAAGUCAGCGGUGAAAUUUUGCAGCUUAACUGUAACAGUGCCGUUGAUACUGUAGGGCUAGGAUUUGGUUGCUGUGGGUGGAAUGUGUGGUGUAGCGGUGAAAUGCUUAGAUAUCACACAGAAUAUCGAUUGCGAAGGCAGCUCACAAAGCCAAGAUUGACGCUGAGGCACGAAAGUGUGGGGAUCAAACAGGCUUAGAUACCCGAGUAGUC